Molecule: ribosomal RNA, 253 nt
Filed under: uncultured bacterium
Lineage: Bacteria
Description: partial 16S ribosomal RNA
Rfam family: Bacterial small subunit ribosomal RNA
Source: RNAcentral
UACGAAGGGGGCUAGCGUUGCUCGGAAUCACUGGGCGUAAAGCGCACGUAGGCGGCUUUUUAAGUCAGGGGUGAAAUCCUGGAGCUCAACUCCAGAACUGCCUUCGAUACUGGGAAGCUCGAGUCCGGGAGAGGUGAGUGGAACUGCGAGUGUAGAGGUGAAAUUCGUAGAUAUUCGCAAGAACACCAGUGGCGAAGGCGGCUCACUGGCCCGGUACUGACGCUGAGGUGCGAAAGCGUGGGGAGCAAACAGG